This 574-nucleotide ribosomal RNA is filed under the name uncultured bacterium. Its description in RNAcentral is "bacterial SSU rRNA". It matches the Rfam family "Bacterial small subunit ribosomal RNA", at positions 108 to 698 of the family's 1533-position model. The record is from RNAcentral.
GAGUAACGCGUGAGGAACCUGCCUCAAAGAGGGGGACAACAGUUGGAAACGACUGCUAAUACCGCAUAAGCCCACGACCCGGCAUCGGGUAGAGGGAAAAGGAGCAAUCCGCUUUGAGAUGGCCUCGCGUCCGAUUAGCUAGUUGGUGAGGUAACGGCCCACCAAGGCAACGAUCGGUAGCCGGACUGAGAGGUUGAACGGCCACAUUGGGACUGAGACACGGCCCAGACUCCUACGGGAGGCAGCAGUGGGGAAUAUUGCACAAUGGGGGAAACCCUGAUGCAGCGACGCCGCGUGGAGGAAGAAGGUCUUCGGAUUGUAAACUCCUGUUGUUGAGGAAGAUAAUGACGGUACUCAACAAGGAAGUGACGGCUAACUACGUGCCAGCAGCCGCGGUAAAACGUAGGUCACAAGCGUUGUCCGGAAUUACUGGGUGUAAAGGGAGCGCAGGCGGGAAGACAAGUUGGAAGUGAAAUCCAUGGGCUCAACCCAUGAACUGCUUUCAAAACUGUUUUUCUUGAGUAGUGCAGAGGUAGGCGGAAUUCCCGGUGUAGCGGUGGAAUGCGUAGAUAUC